Molecule: long non-coding RNA, 2725 nt
Organism: Mus musculus (house mouse)
Lineage: Eukaryota; Metazoa; Chordata; Mammalia; Rodentia; Muridae
Product: predicted gene, 52054
Exons: 3
Source: RefSeq, a predicted model, not a curated record
UGCCAUGAGGACUGUCGCCGGCCCACCUGCGGCCAUCUUAAGUUCGGGGGAAACCAAAGGCCCGGGGCACCCAACUCGAAGGCCGGGCAUCAACCACAGUCCCGGAGGCUCGAGAGAGGAAGGCACCCCUAAGUCCUCUGCAGGAACCCCGCGUGGAGCUCAAUUAACAAAACCUCACCGCGGAGAGGCCCCGCGGCCGGCCGGGUGCCCUCAUCAAACAUGGCCGCCUAGGGAAGCGCGCCGUCACGUGACGCCCGCGCUCGCCCCGUGCCUCCCUCGGCGCCCGAGGUCUGGAUGGCGGCGCGCCCCUCCCCCCGCCGGGCUCCAGCACUCACUCUGGGGGGUAGAGCCGUAGCUCCUCGAUUUCUCCUAGGAAGGAAAAGAGCGUCCUCAUCUGCUCGCUGGUCACCGCCGACGAGAGGUUCGUCACCUGAAUCACCGUCGUAGGGAAGAGGCCGAAGCCUAAGCCCAAGCCGAAGCCGCCGCCGCUGUUCAUCCCGGCCUCGCUGCUGCUGCCUUCCCGCUCCCCAACGUCCACGACGCGUCAGCGACGGAGCCUGGGAAGCAGAGGCGCGCGGCCGCGAGCGCGCUCCCGAGAGCUAAUCCUCCGCGCCCGGGCACGUCUAGCCGCCCAUCGCGCAACUCUCCUGCUCCGGGGGCUGCGCGCGCCGGCCGGAAGCGUCGCCCUGGCAACGCGGCGGCUCCCCGCGGGUCCUGGCGGCCGCAGCCCUGGGGUCAGGUCGCCGGGACUGUUGCUAGGCGUCACUAGGUCUUCAGAGAGGUUUACCUGCUGCUGCAGUGAGGGUUGCGGAGGUUGUGCCUACAAACUCCAUCACUUCUCGAUGCUUCUGUCAGUUAAGCAGCUCGGCUCUUUCUCCACAUCAGGCGGAGGAACCCAGAGGCCUGGGCUGCAGUGGGUUUCAGGCUGGAGAGAGGGCUCAGCGGUUAAGAGCACUGACAGUUCUUCCAGAGGUCCUGAAUUCAAUUCCCAGCAAUCACAUGGUGGCUCACAGCCAUCGGUAAUGGGAUCUGAUGCCUUCUUCUGGUGUGCCUGAAGACAGCUACAGUGUACUCCUAUAUAAAUCUGAGGCAGAAUAAUCAAGAACCUGAGGCCAGUGUGGGCGACAUGAGGAUACCCUGACUAGAGAAACCAAGAACUGAGUUCAUUGGUAUGUAGCAGAACACUUAGCUGGGAUUCAUAAGCUGCCGAGUUAAAGUGGGAGGGAAGGGAGGAGAGAGAAGAGGAGAGGGAGAGAAAUGCAUCCUGUCUUGUAUAUGUGCAUGCACACCUGUGUUUGGAGCAAGACCCUCCCAGGAGCGAAGCACCAAGUCUUUACUUCUUCUAAACCAUGGGACUUUUUCUAUUCAGGAUCCAGAAGUCUCCUUGUCUGUGGUGGGCUAGCUGAGGGUUUGUGCUUCUUUGCUCCUCUUGCUGCAAACCCAGGGUCUGUUGCACACCAGGCAAGCCCUUCACCUCCAGCCAUAAGCAUUUUGAGUUUUGUCCUUAAUUGUUUCCAACUUGAUUCUAACAUAAGAAAGUUCCCUUAUAUUCCUAGACUUUAUUUUUUAUUUUUUGUCAUAAAUAGAUAUGAUAGUUAUCAAAUCCCCCUUUUUACUUACUGAUAUAAUUAUGUGGUAUUUCUAGGAAAAUUUUCACAUGGGCAUAAUGUAUGAUCCUUAUAUUUUGUUGAAAUUCUUAUCUUCAUGUUGAAUGUGUGUGUAAUUUAUUAUGUAUUGAUAGACAUGUAUUCAAAUGAUACAUUGUUUUUCCUUCAUUUGAGAAAGACUCUUAAUAUAUAACCCUGGCUGGUUUCAAACUUAUGAUUUCCUGACUGUGCCUCUGAUGGGUUGAUAUUCCAGAUAAGUGAAGUGGAAACUUAAGCAUUCUUUGGAAAGUCGGUUGGAUGGUAUUUUGCUGGGACAAACACAUGAAGGAACAUUUCGUUAAAGUGGACACAGGUGUGAAAGGCUAAGGCAGACUCGUGAAGGAACCUUUCCCUGAAGCAGACACAGGAGAGAGAUGUUCUGCUAAGAUAAGCACGUGAAAGGACACGUGAUGAAGGAUUCUUUGCUAACAACACACAUGUAUUGGUCUGCCUUACACUGCAUAGUUGAGCUGCAUUCGAAAGGACUCCAAGGACUGGGGUUGAUUAGAUGCACAUUCUGAGGCAAGACCCAUGCUGAGGCAAAGCACGUGAAGGACAUGAUGUAGGACUCCAUGGAGUGACAGAGACUGAGCUUGGCUUGCUGGUACAACUAGCUGUGCAACGCUAGUGAGUUUCAAGUCUUCCUGACCUUUGCUGAUCUUCACUUCCCUGAGAGAGGCACAGCUGAGAACUUCUCCUGGCCUCUGGGUCCCUCUUGCUGACUGGAGCCAAGGCUGAGGCAUGGCUGUCUCUGCUUGGUCCAGUCACCACUGUUGCUAACUGGACUCUACCGAACUGGACUGCUGCUGUAUCUGUGAGGUGUUUUCGAGUGGAUUGAGCUACCACUGCCUGCUGACCUGUGAAUUGAACUGCUGAUAUCCAGACAACACAGAUGGGAGUUGCUCCAGAAAAAACUUGCUAAACAGGCCCACUCUCCCCCUCCCCUCCCCUCCCCUCCUCUGCAUUGUUUCUUAUCUACUACCUCAAAUGGGUAGUAGGCUAAGAGAGAGGUUAAAGUGUUUAAGAACCAUGAUUUGAAAUAGGAUUUGAAAAAUUAAAAUUACAGGUAAGCAUCACAA